RNAcentral lists this ribosomal RNA (497 nucleotides) under uncultured bacterium. RNAcentral's name for it is "partial 16S ribosomal RNA". It matches the Rfam family "Bacterial small subunit ribosomal RNA", at positions 28 to 507 of the family's 1533-position model. The record is from RNAcentral.
GAUGAACGCUGGCGGAGGGUUGAAUACAUGCAAGUCGAGCGAACGGACGAGAAGCUUGCUUCUCUGAUGUUAGCGGCGGACGGGUGAGUAACACGUGGAUAACCUACCUAUAAGACUGGGAUAACUUCGGGAAACCGGAGCUAAUACCGGAUGAUAUUUUGAACCGCAUGGUUCAAAAGUGAAAGACGGUCUUGCUGUCACUUAUAGAUGGAUCCGCGCUGCAUUAGCUAGUUGGUAAGGUAACGGCUUACCAAGGCAACGAUGCAUAGCCGACCUGAGAGGGUGAUCGGCCACACUGGAACUGAGACACGGUCCAGACUCCUACGGGAGGCAGCAGUAGGGAAUCUUCCGCAAUGGGCGAAAGCCUGACGGAGCAACGCCGCGUGAGUGAUGAAGGUCUUCGGAUCGUAAAACUCUGUUAUUAGGGAAGAACAUAUGUGUAAGUAACUGUGCACAUCUUGACGGUACCUAAUCAGAAAGCCACGGCUAACUACGUG